CAGUAGCCGCGGUAAUACGAAGGGUGCAAGCGUUACUCGGAAUUACUGGGCGUAAAGCGUGCGUAGGUGGUGGUUUAAGUCCGUUGUGAAAGCCCUGGGCUCAACCUGGGAACUGCAUUGGUGACUGCAACGCUGGAGUGCGGCAGAGGGGGAUGGAAUUCCGCGUGUAGCAGUGAAAUGCGUAGAGAUCGGAAGGAACAUCUGUGGCGAAGGCGACUAUCUGGGCCAACACUGACGCUGAGGCACGAAAGCGUGGGGAGCAAACAGGAUUAGAUACCCCCGUAGUCCCUGUCUCUUAUAC
Molecule: ribosomal RNA, 301 nt
Filed under: uncultured bacterium
Lineage: Bacteria
Description: partial 16S ribosomal RNA
Rfam family: Bacterial small subunit ribosomal RNA
Source: RNAcentral